GAUGAACGCUGGCGGCGUGCCUAAUACAUGCAAGUCGAGCGAACAGACGAGGAGCUUGCUCCUCUGACGUUAGCGGCGGACGGGUGAGUAACACGUGGAUAACCUACCUAUAAGACUGGGAUAACUUCGGGAAACCGGAGCUAAUCCCGGAUAAUAUAUUGAACCGCAUGGUUCAAUAGUGAAAGACGGUUUUGCUGUCACUUAUAGAUGGAUCCGCGCCGCAUUAGCUAGUUGGUAAGUUAACGGCUUACCAAGGCGACGAUGCGUAGCCGACCUGAGAGGGUGAUCGGCCACACUGGAACUGAGACACGGUCCAGACUCCUACGGGAGGCAGCAGUAGGGAAUCUUCCGCAAUGGGCGAAAGCUUGACGGAGCAACGCCGCGUGAGUGAUGAAGGUCUUCGGAUCGUAAAACUCUGUUAUUAGGGAAGAACAAAUGUGUAAGUAACUAUGCACGUCUUGACGGUACCUAAUCAGAAAGCCACGGCUAACUACGUG
RNAcentral lists this ribosomal RNA (497 nucleotides) under uncultured bacterium. Its description in RNAcentral is "partial 16S ribosomal RNA". It matches the Rfam family "Bacterial small subunit ribosomal RNA", at positions 28 to 507 of the family's 1533-position model. The record is from RNAcentral.